GACAGCUUGGCCGAGGUUAAGGCGAUAGACUAGAAAUCUAUUGGGGUAACCCGCGUGAGUUCAAAUCUCACAGCUGUCG
Transfer RNA from Phytophthora infestans T30-4, 79 nucleotides. It matches the Rfam family "tRNA". From Rfam's summary of the family: Transfer RNA (tRNA) molecules are approximately 80 nucleotides in length. The record is from Rfam. NCBI's taxonomy places the organism in Eukaryota, Oomycota, Peronosporomycetes, Peronosporales, Peronosporaceae.